RNA transcript from Aedes aegypti (yellow fever mosquito), 3233 nucleotides. It is a transcript of the gene named vacuolar protein sorting-associated protein 16 homolog, with no coding region annotated. The transcript is spliced from 10 exons. NCBI's taxonomy places the organism in Eukaryota, Metazoa, Arthropoda, Insecta, Diptera, Culicidae. The record is from RefSeq and is a predicted model, not a curated record.
GAAUUCCCGAAGAUUGUCGUUCGUUGUUCGUCGUCACUGUUUUGAUUUCUUCUGUUAUCAAUCAAUGAAAUUUAGCGAAAAGGGAGGAUUCGUUCCCAAAUUUAAAGUAGUGUUUUCGUAAUUUGCCGGUUCAACUGAACACGUUCCGUUGAAUAGUUCUCCUGAACCUGUUCCGGGAUGUCGCUACUUUACAACACCGGUGAUUGGUUCUCGCUAGGCCAUGGCAACUCGUACAGGAAAAUCGAUCUCUACACCAUGGACUGGCCCGCCAGUAUCAAUCUGGAGCACAUGACGGUUCACGCCGCUCCGUAUGGUGGCCCGAUAGCGCUGGUAAAGGAUACGAAGCAGUUUCUUAAGCUGUCCGGUGGCGAAUCGACCAAACCCGUCAUCCGGAUUUUUAACUGUUCCGGCCGGCUGAUUUCGACGAUCAAUUGGGAUAACGGGAACAGUGGGAACCUGAUCUGCAUGGGUUGGUCCGAUGCGGAAGAAUUCCUCGUUGUCCAGGCGGAUGGAUCCGUGUGGCGCUACGACAUGUUCGGAAACUUUUUACACAAGUUCAGCAUGGGAGCGGACGUGACGGACGUGCAGGAUGCGAAGAUUUUCGCUUCCAGUUCGGGCACGGGAAUUGCGGUGCUGACGGCCAGCUGGAAGAUCUACAUCGUGAAUAGCGUGAUGGAUCCGAAGUUGAGGCCCCUGUCGGAACUGUUGUCACUCACUAGCGAUCUGACCUGCUGGGAGUUAGUUUCUAAAGAACGGAACACGUGCUGCCUUUUAGCUCGGGGAACGGACGUCAUCCUAGCGCGCCACGGCGACAGUGCUCCGACAACUCAUACCCUGAGCAUGAAGAGCGAAUACAGCAGCAUAAUUGCCAUGGCAGUUUCCUUCAAUCAUCGCCAUUUGGCAAUCUACACCAAUACCGGGGCCAUUUGGCUGGGAUCUGCAGAUCUUCGCACCAAAUAUUGCGAAUUUGCUACCGGUCGAACUGAACGUCCGCAGCAGAUUGGCUGGUGCUGCGAUGAAGAUCCCCAUCCAGACCGUCAGGCCGUAAUCGUUAGCUACGCCUCUAUGGUUCAGGUCAUCGGAAUGACCGGUGAUUCCAACAUCUAUACGUACGAUUCGCGAACGGUGUUAAUCCCGGAAAUGGACGUGGUCCGGGUAUUGACCAACACUUCUCACGAGCUCUUUCAGCGAGUGCCGCAAUGCACGAGCAAAAUUUUCGGAAUCACAAUCUCCGAGCCGGCCAGUUUCCUAUUCGAGGCUCACAUGGAAUUUCAGAAGCGCAGUCACAAGUCGGACGAGUUCCUGUGCCUGAUUCAGGACCGGUUGGCGUCGGCUGUGGGCGAAUGUGUGGAUGCAGCCGGACAGGAGUUUGAUUCGCACACCCAGAAGAGUCUGAUUCGGGCGGCUCACUUUGGGAAGAGUUUCCUGCCGGGAUACAACCCGGACGGGUACAUCGAGAUGUGCCGGGUGCUGAGAGUGCUGAAUGCGCUGCGGGAACCGAUCGUCGGGAUGCCGCUGACGCUGAGGCAAUUCAAUCAUUUGCAGCCGUUGGUCAUAUUGGAUCGGCUGAUCUUCCGAAAGCACUACGCGCUAGCGAUUCAGAUUGCCAAGCAUCUGAAGCUGCCGGAGUCGAGGAUUCUGGAGCAUUGGGCUUUCCAUAAAAUUGAACAUGACAAAAAUGACGAGGAAGUGGCCCGAAAGAUCUCCGAUAAGUUCCGCCACCACCCGAUGGGCGAUCGAGAGCGCAUAUCCUUUGCCAACGUUGCUAAAAAGGCUCAGCAGAAGGGCCGUAACAAACUGGCCAUCACCCUUUUAGAACAGGAACCGCGCAAAAGUCUUCGGGUCCCGUUGCUGCUGGAGCUGGAUGCCAGUGAAAAAGCCCUAACGGCUGCCACCCAAUCGGGCGAUACCGACCUGAUCUACAUGGUGAUCCUGAAGAUGAAAAGUACGACAGCGCUAAGCAAGUUCCAGAUGAUCAUCCGACGGUUCCCGUUGGCGCACGAUCUGUAUAAGAAGUACUGCCAGACGAACAGUCUGUCCACAUUGAAGGACAUCUACUCACAGGAAGAUGACUUCCAAGCCCAGGCGGAGCUAGGAUUGAGGGAAGCGCUGGAAGUCAACAACGUUGAAGUGUCGAUACCGGAAAUCAGCGUAAACUACAAGAAAGCCAAUCGGAUGCUGGAAGCGGAUGCCUGUGAUGAAGCUAAAAAGCUGAUGAAACACCAAAAAGUUCUGGACGAAAAGUACCAGAAACGCCUCUACGGCCUCCCGCUGCACGAAACCAUCCGCCAGCUCCUUCUCCUCGGAGACAUCAAGUAUGCCGAUCGAUUGAAGAGUGAGUUCAAGGUACCGGAGCGACGCUACUGGUGGCUCCGGAUUUCCGUCCUCUCCCAGCAGUUCCAGUGGGAUGAGCUGGAAAAGUUUGCCAAAUCCAAGAAAAGCCCCAUCGGCUAUGAACCGUUCGUGGAGGUUUGUCUCAAGCAGAGCAACCUCGAGCAGGCCAAAAAAUAUCUCCCACGGUGCAGCGAGGAGAACAAGUUCAACUGGUAUCUGAAGGCGGGUUGUCUGCUGGAGGCGGCCGCCAUCGCGUACGAUCAGAAAGACAUGGACGGACUGUGGCGGGUCCAUGGUCGGUGUACGGCUGAUCCGGCUUUGUUGGCUAAGGUGGAUAAUUUGAUCGGGCAGCUGGCGUCGAAGAAGUGAACGUAGGGAGGCGUUUUGGAUUUCUUUAGAUGAAUAAGUUGAUCUGCGAUGAGCUGUGGCUUCUUUACAAGACAUUCCUUCAAGGAUUGCUCGAUAUUGGAAGAUUUAUCUUCCCUUCUUGUGUCUACCGUGGAUCCUCGUCCACAGGGCUGCUACCGCACUACUACAACGUUGUCGUAUAAAACAUCCAUCGAAAAGGGUCUGGGUUACUAGAGCCUCAAAGAUAACACGAUUGCAUGAAUGGUUCGAUGUCAUCAAAGAAAUGAAGACGUGUCUCCUUCCAUCCAUGGAUUAUCGGUAUGGAAUUGAUAUUCAAGAUUACCGAAUUGCAGUGGCGAUCUCAGGCCUCUUUUGGUCAUGUGAUGACAAAAAUAGUUGAUUUCGACACAGUUGCUGGUAAUUUGCUUGUUUGAUAAAGACAAGACAUUGCAACAGAUAACGGAAAUAUCUGUCUACAGCGUAGAAAAGAAGGUAAGCUAUGCAAGAUUCUCUUACAUUUGUUUAAAUAUUAGAAUAUGACAUUAAGCUUU